Long non-coding RNA from Solanum dulcamara, 952 nucleotides. RefSeq lists it as uncharacterized. The record is from RefSeq and is a predicted model, not a curated record. Lineage: Eukaryota; Viridiplantae; Streptophyta; Magnoliopsida; Solanales; Solanaceae. The transcript is spliced from 2 exons.
UGAAUCUACAUAUAAUCACGAAUUGUCAAAAAAAUUGAUGUGCUUGGCAGUGAAGCUUAUUUGGUUCUCAAAGUGACAGAAUAUUUAACUAUUGCAAGCCAUCAUACCUUGCCAAGAAUGCACCCUUUUGUUGAAGGUAGGUUAGCCAAUGGUCUAGAAUGCAAGACCUCACAUAAUUUGAGAGAUUGGGGACCAGUUUCUUCAAGCUUUCUUUCCCUCUCAUUCCAUAUAUUGAGUAGUUCUUUUGAAGGCGCUGUUCCAAUGAUUCCAGGAUGAACUAAACCAGGAAAUCUUACACCUGUUUGAGAGAUUUCCAGUAGAUCUUAUUAGGACUUGAUACGCAUAUUUGACUAGGAUAUAUUAGAAGAUAUGCAGCUUUACCUGGUAUAUGUGGUGAGUAGGCAUAUAUGCCUUCGAAGUACCAAAUAGCUUUAGUUGCAUGGGGAAAAUGAUCUGUUAGAAAUCCUCCACCAUUCUCUCUGUCGAAUAUUGCUGUAAAACCCCAUUCAUCUCCGGGGAGAGGCCCUAAGUUGCAUAUUUCAACAGCAAGAAGGUCACCUGGUUCAGCGGGAUUUCCAUCUGUAUCUACGACUCUUAUUGGCCCACUGAGAUAAUGGACCUACAUAGGAGAGUUAUAUGAUUCAGCCUGAAAUGAUUUCGAACAUCAUAUGACUUAGGAUCUAGGACACUUUGUUGGCUGGAUAUGUUAGUUUAUGCACACUUACAGUAGAUAAAUCAAUAGUUUUUACAUCCAUUGCAGAGUUAUUAUCUUGGAUAGCGCCUGCUGUCCAAUCAACCAUCUCAAUUCGGAACAUCUCCCCUGUUUUAAUCUCUGUUACAUGUGGUAUCUCUGGGUGCCAACGGUUGUGGAGUGGCAACUUUUGUUCCCAUGGCUUUUUCUUUAGGUCUAUGGGGAUUACUAGUCUUGGAGUAGGAGGAGCCAUGGUGACUU